This 2340-nucleotide ribosomal RNA is filed under the name Staphylococcus aureus. Its description in RNAcentral is "bacterial LSU rRNA". It matches the Rfam family "Bacterial large subunit ribosomal RNA", at positions 14 to 2352 of the family's 2925-position model. Lineage: Bacteria; Bacillati; Bacillota; Bacilli; Caryophanales; Staphylococcaceae. The record is from RNAcentral.
AGGGCGCACGGUGGAUGCCUUGGCACUAGAAGCCGAUGAAGGACGUUACUAACGACGAUAUGCUUUGGGGAGCUGUAAGUAAGCUUUGAUCCAGAGAUUUCCGAAUGGGGAAACCCAGCAUGAGUUAUGUCAUGUUAUCGAUAUGUGAAUACAUAGCAUAUCAGAAGGCACACCCGGAGAACUGAAACAUCUUAGUACCCGGAGGAAGAGAAAGAAAAUUCGAUUCCCUUAGUAGCGGCGAGCGAAACGGGAAGAGCCCAAACCAACAAGCUUGCUUGUUGGGGUUGUAGGACACUCUAUACGGAGUUACAAAGGACGACAUUAGACGAAUCAUCUGGAAAGAUGAAUCAAAGAAGGUAAUAAUCCUGUAGUCGAAAAUGUUGUCUCUCUUGAGUGGAUCCUGAGUACGACGGAGCACGUGAAAUUCCGUCGGAAUCUGGGAGGACCAUCUCCUAAGGCUAAAUACUCUCUAGUGACCGAUAGUGAACCAGUACCGUGAGGGAAAGGUGAAAAGCACCCCGGAAGGGGAGUGAAAUAGAACCUGAAACCGUGUGCUUACAAGUAGUCAGAGCCCGUUAAUGGGUGAUGGCGUGCCUUUUGUAGAAUGAACCGGCGAGUUACGAUUUGAUGCAAGGUUAAGCAGUAAAUGUGGAGCCGUAGCGAAAGCGAGUCUGAAUAGGGCGUUUAGUAUUUGGUCGUAGACCCGAAACCAGGUGAUCUACCCUUGGUCAGGUUGAAGUUCAGGUAACACUGAAUGGAGGACCGAACCGACUUACGUUGAAAAGUGAGCGGAUGAACUGAGGGUAGCGGAGAAAUUCCAAUCGAACCUGGAGAUAGCUGGUUCUCUCCGAAAUAGCUUUAGGGCUAGCCUCAAGUGAUGAUUAUUGGAGGUAGAGCACUGUUUGGACGAGGGGCCCCUCUCGGGUUACCGAAUUCAGACAAACUCCGAAUGCCAAUUAAUUUAACUUGGGAGUCAGAACAUGGGUGAUAAGGUCCGUGUUCGAAAGGGAAACAGCCCAGACCACCAGCUAAGGUCCCAAAAUAUAUGUUAAGUGGAAAAGGAUGUGGCGUUGCCCAGACAACUAGGAUGUUGGCUUAGAAGCAGCCAUCAUUUAAAGAGUGCGUAAUAGCUCACUAGUCGAGUGACACUGCGCCGAAAAUGUACCGGGGCUAAACAUAUUACCGAAGCUGUGGAUUGUCCUUUGGACAAUGGUAGGAGAGCGUUCUAAGGGCGUUGAAGCAUGAUCGUAAGGACAUGUGGAGCGCUUAGAAGUGAGAAUGCCGGUGUGAGUAGCGAAAGACGGGUGAGAAUCCCGUCCACCGAUUGACUAAGGUUUCCAGAGGAAGGCUCGUCCGCUCUGGGUUAGUCGGGUCCUAAGCUGAGGCCGACAGGCGUAGGCGAUGGAUAACAGGUUGAUAUUCCUGUACCACCUAUAAUCGUUUUAAUCGAUGGGGGGACGCAGUAGGAUAGGCGAAGCGUGCGAUUGGAUUGCACGUCUAAGCAGUAAGGCUGAGUAUUAGGCAAAUCCGGUACUCGUUAAGGCUGAGCUGUGAUGGGGAGAAGACAUUGUGUCUUCGAGUCGUUGAUUUCACACUGCCGAGAAAAGCCUCUAGAUAGAAAAUAGGUGCCCGUACCGCAAACCGACACAGGUAGUCAAGAUGAGAAUUCUAAGGUGAGCGAGCGAACUCUCGUUAAGGAACUCGGCAAAAUGACCCCGUAACUUCGGGAGAAGGGGUGCUCUUUAGGGUUAACGCCCAGAAGAGCCGCAGUGAAUAGGCCCAAGCGACUGUUUAUCAAAAACACAGGUCUCUGCUAAACCGUAAGGUGAUGUAUAGGGGCUGACGCCUGCCCGGUGCUGGAAGGUUAAGAGGAGUGGUUAGCUUCUGCGAAGCUACGAAUCGAAGCCCCAGUAAACGGCGGCCGUAACUAUAACGGUCCUAAGGUAGCGAAAUUCCUUGUCGGGUAAGUUCCGACCCGCACGAAAGGCGUAACGAUUUGGGCACUGUCUCAACGAGAGACUCGGUGAAAUCAUAGUACCUGUGAAGAUGCAGGUUACCCGCGACAGGACGGAAAGACCCCGUGGAGCUUUACUGUAGCCUGAUAUUGAAAUUCGGCACAGCUUGUACAGGAUAGGUAGGAGCCUUUGAAACGUGAGCGCUAGCUUACGUGGAGGCGCUGGUGGGAUACUACCCUAGCUGUGUUGGCUUUCUAACCCGCACCACUUAUCGUGGUGGGAGACAGUGUCAGGCGGGCAGUUUGACUGGGGCGGUCGCCUCCUAAAAGGUAACGGAGGCGCUCAAAGGUUCCCUCAGAAUGGUUGGAAAUCAUUCAUAGAGUGU